UCCCUGGUGGCCUAACAGUUAAGGACUCAGCAUUGUCACUGCUGUGGCUUGGGUUACUGCUGUGGCUCAGGUUCGAUCCCUGGCCCAGGAA
This 91-nucleotide transfer RNA is filed under the name Sus scrofa (pig). It matches the Rfam family "tRNA". Rfam says of the family: Transfer RNA (tRNA) molecules are approximately 80 nucleotides in length. Lineage: Eukaryota; Metazoa; Chordata; Mammalia; Artiodactyla; Suidae. The record is from Rfam by way of RNAcentral.